RNAcentral lists this ribosomal RNA (908 nucleotides) under uncultured ANME-2 cluster archaeon. RNAcentral describes it as "bacterial SSU rRNA". It matches the Rfam family "Archaeal small subunit ribosomal RNA", at positions 14 to 926 of the family's 1478-position model. The record is from RNAcentral. Lineage: Archaea; Methanobacteriati; Methanobacteriota; Methanomicrobia; Methanosarcinales.
CUGCCAGAGGCUACUGCUAUCGGGGUCCGACUAAGCCAUGCGAGUUGAGAGGGGUAAGCCCUCGGCAUAUUGCUCAGUAACACGCGGAUAACCUGCCCUUGGGUUCGGGAUAACCCCGGGAAACUGGGACUAAUACCGGAUAGAUCAAAGAAACUGGAAUGUUCUCUGGUUAAAAACUCCGGUGCCCAAGGAUGGGUCUGCGGCCUAUCAGGUAGUAGUGGGUGUAACGUACCUACUAGCCUACGACGGGUAAGGGUUGUGAGAGCAAGAGCCCUGAGAUGGAUUCUGAGACAUGAAUCCAGGCCCUACGGGGUGCAGCAGGCGCGAAAACUUUACACUGCGGGAAACCGCGAUAAGGGGACCCCGAGUGCCAGCACCUAGUGCUGGCUGUCCAGCUGUCCAAAUAACAGUUGUUAGCAAGGGCCGGGCAAGACCGGUGCCAGCCGCCGCGGUAACACCGGCGGCCCGAGUGGUAGCCGUUAUUAUUGGGUUUAAAGGGUCCGUAGCCGGCCUAUUAAGUCUCUUGGGAAAUCUGGCGACUCAAUCGUCAGGCGUCCAAGAGAUACUGGUAGGCUUGGGACCGGGAGAGGUGGGAGGUACUCCAGGGGUAGGGGUGAAAUCUCGUAAUCCUUGGGGGACCACCGAUGGCGAAGGCAUCCCACCAGAACGGGUCCGACGGUGAGGGACGAAAGCUGGGGGCACGAACCGGAUUAGAUACCCGGGUAGUCCCAGCCGUAAACGAUGCUCGCUAGGUGUCAGAUGCGGUGCGACCGCAUUUGGUGCCGCAGUGAAAACUUGAAGCGAGUCACCUGGGAAGUACGGUCGCAAGGCUGAAACUUAAAGGAAUUGGCGGGGGAGCACUACAACGGGUGGAGCCUGCGGUUCAAUUGGAUUCAACGCCCGGGAUC